Molecule: long non-coding RNA, 1668 nt
Organism: Lagopus leucura (white-tailed ptarmigan)
Lineage: Eukaryota; Metazoa; Chordata; Aves; Galliformes; Phasianidae
Exons: 2
Source: RefSeq, a predicted model, not a curated record
CGCCAUUUUGUGUGAGGCGCUUUCCCAUUUUAGGCCGCGGCGGGGAGGCGGCGGGAGUGGUCGGCGCCUUUCCCGCGGGGUGCGGAGCGGCGGGGCCGAGCUCUGCACCCUCACUGAGGCGGCGAGCCCGGCGGGGGUGAGCUCUUUCUACUGCUCCGAGGAGACGACGCGACGUUUCGCCUUCACGGCCCUUCGAGUGAUGGCGGUGACGGUUGCUCCCGCUCGGCCGCGAUGGCGGAGCGCGCCCGGCCGGCCCCGGAAGUGAAGCGGUGACGGAGGGUCCCUCUGGCGGAGCUCGGCGGAACCGCUGGGGCCGGGAAGGCGCUGAGGCGUCAGGUAGGGAGUGCCGGGGAUCGCUCGGUCUGUCAGCCCGCAGUGGGAGGCGGAGAGGCCCCGGCCCUGCUGUGGAGCUGCGCUUUUCGGUGGGCUCGGAGGCUCUCGUUGCUCGCAGGCAGCGCUGAUGGUGUUGUGAAGCCAUCUGGGGGCUUCAGCUGCAGUUUUGUUUCUUUUCUUUGUACCUUAACCUUAAUCUGUGUUUAAGCUCUGUUGCGGCUUCCUCGUUUUUCCUCGAAGUAAUGAGAACCUGAUUUCAGCAGCUCGUUAUCAGCUAUGAAAUGUAUUUUUCAUUUGUUUAUCUUUGCAUUGAGAAGAUCUGUGGAUGUGGUUUUGAAGUUUUUGAAAGCCAUAAGGAGCUUCCUUGGUUUGUAAGUUAAACCUCGCUUCAAACCUGUGUUCUUUUUGAUUGAAUUCGAUGUUUUAGGAAGUGCAAAGGGAUUGCUGUAGGGAUUUUAUGGAGGUAAUAGCAUAGAUAAGCAGUAGUAAAGCUAAUGCAUGCCAAUAAUGCGUACUAUUGAUGACGGGACACUUCUAACAUGUUUGGAAGUGAACACAGCUGUGGCAUUCUGGCUUUUAGAUCUCCUCUGUAAAUAUAAGGAUGUGUAUAGUGUGUGUGUGUAUGUAUAUAUAUAUAUAUAUAAAGGCUUGGGGUGCUUGUUUGAAUGCUGAUGUAACUUCUGUGUUGUAGUUGAUGCUGUGGAUAAACUGAAGAAGAAGUUGUUUAGAAUACGCUGAAGUUAGUAAAGUAAGUUAGUAAAACUUAAAAUCAUAGAAUCAUAAAGUUGGAAAGGACCUACGAGAUCAUCAAGUUCAAUGGUCCUCCCAUUAUCCUUGCUGCCACAAGCCACUAAGCUAUGUCUUGUAGCUCCUCUUCAGAACUUCAGAAAGCCUGCUUUGAAUGUCAAGUUAUGGUAUGUCUGUGGGAUGUAAUAGUUGAAUCGUUCUAUGGUUUUUGGAGGCACACUUUGCACCUCUGUGUAAAAUAGAGUUCCACUCAAUAAAUAAGAGUUCCUGACAAAACUAAUCAGUCUUGUUUCUGAUUUCUAGCAGAAAAAUUCUGUCUGUCUGGGUGUAGCUGUUCUUGGCACAGGAAGUUCUUGGCACAUCACUCAUCUAACUACUAUGAGCAAAAGGAUUACUUUGUUCUCUGCAUAAAUGUGAUCUCCUACAGGGAAAAGUUUGUCACAAGUGGAGAAAAUGAGCAGCAGAAUUUCCUGUUGGGAGCCGCUCUGUCAUCAGCUGCUUUGUCAUCUUUCCAAAACUAACAUUUCAGUUUGUCUCAUAACUUAUUACUGAAUAUUAAAAGCAUUAAAAACUGCAAUUCUUGUUCUA